This 516-nucleotide ribosomal RNA is filed under the name Triticum aestivum (bread wheat). Its description in RNAcentral is "partial small subunit ribosomal RNA". The record is from RNAcentral. Lineage: Eukaryota; Viridiplantae; Streptophyta; Magnoliopsida; Poales; Poaceae.
AUGAAGAAAAGUGCAGAACCAAGGAGAGAUGGUUGGAAGAAGCCUUGUGAAGGUUUUGUGAAGGUAAAUGUAGAUGCCUCUUUCAAAGCACACUCUCUCCAAGGAGCUGUAGGUGCUGUGCUACGAGAUUAUAAAGGUGCGUUCAUCGCGACAUCGAACGAACAGCUUGAGCAUGUCGCAGAUGCAGGGACGGCGGAAGCAUAUGCGUUACGACAUGGUCUACUUUUGGCGCAGCAGCUGGGGAUAAGCAAGCUUGUGGUGGAGUCGGACUGCCUCGAGGUGAUCAAUACUAUGAAUAAUGGAGGUUUUACGGCUUCAGGUGCAGCCGCAAUUUACUCUGGUUGUUUGGUUCUCAUCAUAGGAUACGCUUCGGUCACUUUUGUCCAUUGCCCGAGAGAGGCAAAUUCUGUAUCUCAUGAGUUAGCUAGGUUGGCGAGGCCUUCCCUAUCGCUUUGGGUGGAGGAACCGCUGACUUUCAUCGUAAAAGGCUUGGUGGACGAUGUAACAGUUUUUUGA